GCAGGAGGUUCUCACAGAGGGUUCCCAAAGGUAAUUUUGAUCAACUUGAAGCAUCAACCUGGAGUUCAAACAAGCCCUUUAUAACAAAGUUCCUGCUAGUUCCAAAGUUGGGCAGAUGAUGAGGUAAGGAGUGGGACUAAUCUAUGGAUCAGCAUGUCUAUUUUAAGCCUCUAACAACCCUCUCUGAUUUACAGGAUGCCUUCAGAGCCAUGCACCCAAAGCUUGACAUUGUGCAGUUAUUCCUUAAGCCCCUGCUCAUUGGAGAGCUUAUCCCAGAAGAGGCCAUCCAGGAGAGAAACAAAAAUGUAAGCAGGCAUCCUAAGGCCGGGAAGUGGCUUCAAAUGAAGGCUUAGAAUUUUUCUUCUGUCUUUGGAUUUGUGUCAGCUGCUGCCUGAUACUUCUUGGCAACCUCUUCAUCAGUGUCUCACACCAGCAAGUUACCAAACCUCGCUGGGUCCCAGUUCUCUUGUCUGUAAAAUGGGGAUAACAAAUCUUGUAUGGAAAUAUUAUGAGGAGGGCUAAACAAUUUAAUGUGGAAAACAUCUAGUAUAUGCUAAAUAUUUAAUUCAUGACAGUUGUUACUCUUUACCUAAUUUUAUCCAUACAACUUCAGUAUCUAAAUUUCCAUUCUUAGCCAGGUAACACUCAUCUUUCUCUUUCAUUCAUUUACCAACCAAGAUUUACCAAUGCAGCCAACCGUGAAUUCUUCAAUAGUAGAGAUUAUAUCUUAUUAUAUGAGGAUUAAGAAUGUGUGGAUUUUGUCAUAAAGGAAAACCAGGAACUGGCACAUAGAAGGGCAUUUGAUAAAUCUUUGUUGAAUCAAGAAUGAAUAUCUGAGCAUGGCCUUCAAUGAGCACAACAUUGUGUUGUGGACAUAAAGGCCUCUGGU
Molecule: long non-coding RNA, 889 nt
Filed under: Equus caballus (horse)
Lineage: Eukaryota; Metazoa; Chordata; Mammalia; Perissodactyla; Equidae
Description: lncRNA (ENSECAG00000014824.4)
Source: RNAcentral